Molecule: ribosomal RNA, 2382 nt
Filed under: Triticum aestivum (bread wheat)
Lineage: Eukaryota; Viridiplantae; Streptophyta; Magnoliopsida; Poales; Poaceae
Description: partial small subunit ribosomal RNA
Source: RNAcentral
AUGGGGUUCGCCGACCAAGCGAGGGCGUGGAUCCCCCUUCUCAUGCUCUCAAUCGUCGGCACGACCACCAUCAACCAGAUCUUCACUACCUCAGGUACCAAAGGAUCAACCCGGAAUCUGUCCGAGUCCCCAAUGGAGGCGGCAGCGGCAUCUUCGCCCACCAGGAAGCCAGCAGAACCAGCACCGUCAUCCACACCAAGCAUGGACGAGCGCGACGGCGCCCCAGCUGCGGAUGCCGACAGGUCGAGCCUCACGCCCUACCUCGCCCAUGCCUCGCUCAAGCAGCGGGAGCCACGAGGGCGUCUGUCAUCCUCAUCCGCUGCCAUCAUGAGGGACAACCAGCUGUACAAUGCCGCCGCGCACUCCUCCCAGGGAAUCAACCUCGACGGCGAGCUCUACAACUUGGCCACCCAAGCCUCCGGGCCAUCCAACAGCCUCGGCGAUGCGGCCACCCAGGGAGGCGACCUCGGCGGCAAUAUCUUUGUCGUCACCGCAGCUGCCGCCGUUGAGGUCGCCUCCCUGGGCGGCAAGGUUGUAGAGCCCACUGCCGAGGUCGGUCCCCUAGGUGGCCUGGGCGGCGAGGUUGUAGAGCUCACCAUCGAGGUCGCCUCCCUGGGUGGCCUGGGCGGCGAGGUUGUAGAGCCAACUGCCGAGGCUGUUGUAUGCCUGGGAGGCUUGCGCGGUGAAGGUGUCGACCGCGCCACCAAGAUCAUCCGCGGAGGACCCUCAUGCCGCUGCAGGUACCAGAGGAUCAACCCGGAAUCCGUUCCAGUCCCUAAUGGCAGCGGCGGUGGCAAUGGCAGCACCGCCACCAGAAAGCUAGCAGAACCCGUGCCGUCACCCACACCAAGCAUGGACAAGCGCGACGGCGCCCCGGCUGUCGACGCUAACAGCUCGAGCCUCGCAUCCUACCUCGCCCGCGCCUCGCUCGAGCAGCGCCGGCCAGGAGGGCGUCCGGCGUCCUCAUCCGCUGCCAUCGUGAGCGACCACCAACUGUACAACGCCACCGCAUACUCAUCCCAUGGAGUCAACAUCGGCGGCAGCCUCUACAACUUGGCCGCCCAAGCCUCCCAAGGAUCCAACCUCGACGGCGGGCUCUACAACUUGGCCGCCCAAGCCUCCGAGGCAGCCAACAGCCUCGGCGGCGGGCUCUACAACUUCGCCGCCAAGGCCACCCAGGGAGCCGACCUUUGUGGCGAGCUCUACAACCUUACCGCCCAGUCUACCCAGGCAUCCAACAGGCUCGGCAGUGGGCUCAACAACCUCGCCGCCCAUGCCACCCAAGCAUCCAACAGCCUCGGCGGUGGGCUCUACAACCUCGCCGCCCAGGCCAUUGAGGGAACCGACCUCGGCGGCGGCAGCAGCAGCAGUGACAUCGCCAUUGCCGCGCUGGAAGACCCUGCGCCGCUCAAGUGGGGCUGCAAGAAGCGCUCGCGCGCCUACCGCGAGGUGCCCGCGCCGGCGCCCGCUGUCACUCCUGCACCCGCAUCGGUGCCUGCUCCCGCGCCAGCAACGGUGCCCACUCCAGCGCCUGAGCCAGAGCUGACCCCCGCUCAGGCGCAUCGCCGGGGAAUCUUAAGGAUCAAAAACCGUCCGACGGCGCAAGACCAGGCCCAGCCACGAGCGGAAGCGGAGAAGUUGAUGCCACCACCGAGCGCCCGCGGCCCCGCCAUCCUUGACACCUCGCCUCAGAGUCCUCGCACCACCACCCUCUCGCCGCUACCACCUCGCGCCGCCACCCUCUCGCCACUACCACCUCGCGCCGCCACCCUCUCGCAGCACAGAUCAUCCGCGGAGGACCCUCAUGCCGCUGACGGCAAGCAGCAGCAAGCGGCGGACAAGGCGCCUGGCACCACCGAGGAGGAGCCGGCGCCCAAAGUGCAUGAGCCUAAGCCGCCGCUGCCGCAGCCGUACCGUCAGGCGGCGGACAAGGCGGCUCACGCCAGCAACGGCGAGCAGGAGCCGGCGCCCAAGGCGGAGCCUAGGACGCCGCAGCCGCAGAGGCAGAGGCAGCAGCCGCCGCGCCAGGCGUCGAUAAAGGAGAAAGGCAAGGCGCCGAUGGUGCAGGAGCCUCCCGCGGUGGCGCCGCACGUCGCGCAGAGGCGGCGGCCGCCGCGGGGGAGGCCAAGGCUGCCCUACCGCCCCCUGCAGCGCCACCCCAAGGCCGUCGAGGACAAGCUCCAGAAACUGUUCCCGGGCCAGACGCUGCCUGAGGUGACCAGGGCCAGGUACAUGGUGCGCGAGAAGAAGCAAAAGAAGCGCCCCGGCCUGCAAGCAAUGGCGGAGGAGGACGCCCUGAGGUCCGAGAGGCGCGACUCCGACAAUAAUGCGGCGGGAGAAAAAAAACCAUUUUGGCGUCUCCGAUGCGGAGGAGCGUGGUAG